GACGAACGCUGGCGGCGUGCCUAAUACAUGCAAGUCGAGCGCUGAAGGUUGGUUCUUGUCCCAAUUGGAUGAGCAGCGAACGGGUGAGUAACGCGUGGGGACUCGGCCUUUGAGCGGGGGACAACAUUUGGAAACGAAUGCUAAUACCGCAUAAAAACUUUAAACACAAGGUUUAAGUUUGAAAGAUGCAAUUGCAUCACUCAAAGAUGAUCCCGGGUUGUAUUAGCUAGUUGGGGGGGUAAAGGCUCACCAAGGAGAGGAUCCAUAGCCGAUCUGAAAGGAUGACGGCCCACAUGGGAACGGGACACGGGCCAAGACCCCACGGGGGGGCGCAAGAGGGGAUCUUCGGCCAUGGGCGGAAGUCUGGCCGAGGAACGCCGCGUGGGUGAAGGAGGUUUUCGGGUCGGAAAACUCUGUUGGUAGGGAAGAACGUUGGUUAGAGUGGAAAGCUCAUCAAGUGACGGUAACUACCCAGAAAGCGACGGCUAACUACGUG
Molecule: ribosomal RNA, 496 nt
Filed under: uncultured bacterium
Lineage: Bacteria
Description: partial 16S ribosomal RNA
Rfam family: Bacterial small subunit ribosomal RNA
Source: RNAcentral